Molecule: long non-coding RNA, 1268 nt
Filed under: Pan troglodytes (chimpanzee)
Lineage: Eukaryota; Metazoa; Chordata; Mammalia; Primates; Hominidae
Description: long non-coding RNA NONPTRT016390
Source: RNAcentral
CCCAUCUCAGACCUGUGGACCCAGAGUUUCUGAGCGCUCCUGGUGAUGUUGCUGCAUAUCAGAGGCAUAUGGUCUGAAGUCAGCAGGCCACCGCUCCACAGGAGGGUGCCACACAGUAGGAGUGCGGGCUCCGGCUGAGAUAAUCCUGGCUUUGAAUCCCUGCCCUACCAUUGUUGGCACAGGAACUCAGGCAAAUCACUGAGCCCCUCGGAGCGUCAGUUUCCUUGUUUAUGAAAUAGGGAUGAUGCCGAUUCCUUCCCCAGAGGAUUGUGAGGAUUCAGUAGGAAAGUACCUUUGAGGCACCCAGUCCCUUGCACAAAGUAAGUGCUCAGUGAACAUUUGCUGCGGCUGCUGUGACUUUGCCGGGUUAUUCCACUGGCUUGUCAUAGGAGUCCACUUCUUCCGUCUCUGUGGGAGGUAAGACCAAAGAACCUGGGAGAACUAUUAGAGCAAGAAAAGAUUGUCCUCUUCUCGCAAGGGUGCACUCAUCUUUUCUCAUUACCCUCGUUUUCCCAAUGACAGCGUCAUCGGUUAUCUCGCAAAGAACUCAACAGACCUCCAGUCAGAUGCCAGCCAGCUCUACGGCCCCUUCCUCCCAGGAGACAGUGCAGCCCACGAGCCCGGCAACGGCAUUGAGAACACCUACCCUGCCAGAGACCAUGAGCUCCAGCCCCACAGCAGCAUCAACUACCCACCGAUACCCCAAAACACCUUCUCCCACUGUGGCUCAUGAGAGUAACUGGGCAAAGUGUGAGGAUCUUGAGACACAGACACAGAGUGAGAAGCAGCUCAUCCUGAACCUCACAGGAAACACCCUCUGUGCAGGGGGCACUUCGGAUGAGAAAUUGAUCUCACUGAUAUGCCGAGCAGUCAAAGCCACCUUCAACCCAGCCCAAGAUGAGUGCGGCAUACGGCUGGCACCUGUUCCAGGAAGUCAGACCGUGGUCGUCAAAGAAAUCACUAUUCACACUAAGCUCCCUGCCAAGGAUGUGUACGAGCGGCUGAAGGACAAAUGGGAUGAACUAAAGGAGAGGCAGGGGUCAGUGACAUGAAGCUAGGGGACCAGGGGCCACCGGAGGAGGCCGAGGACCGCUUCAGCAUGCCCCUCAUCAUCACCAUCGUCUGCAUGGCGUCAUUCCUGCUCCUCGUGGCGGCCCUCUAUGGCUGCUGCCACCAGCGCCUCUCCCAGAGGAAGGACCAGGUAAGCAGCUGUUUGCAGCCACACAGGGGAAGCAGCCCAGGUCACCAGAGGAACCCUCCCCUUGUGA